This 496-nucleotide ribosomal RNA is filed under the name uncultured bacterium. RNAcentral's name for it is "partial 16S ribosomal RNA". It matches the Rfam family "Bacterial small subunit ribosomal RNA", at positions 29 to 507 of the family's 1533-position model. The record is from RNAcentral.
AUGAACGCUGGCGGCGUGCCUAAUACAUGCCAGUCGAGCGAACAGACGAGGAGCUUGCUCUUCUGACGUUAGCGGCGGACGGGUGAGUAACACGUGGAUAACCUACCUAUAAGACUGGGAUAACUUCGGGAAACCGGAGCUAAUACCGGAUAAUAUAUUGAACCGCAUGGUUCAAUAGUGAAAGACGGUUUUGCUGUCACUUAUAGAUGGAUCCGCGCCGCAUUAGCUAGUUGGUAAGGUAACGGCUUACCAAGGCAACGAUGCGUAGCCGACCUGAGAGGGUGAUCGGCCACACUGGAACUGAGACACGGUCCAGACUCCUACGGGAGGCAGCAGUAGGGAAUCUUCCGCAAUGGGCGAAAGCUUGACGGAGCAACGCCGCGUGAGUGAUGAAGGUCUUCGGAUCGUAAAACUCUGUUAUUAGGGAAGAACAAAUGUGUAAGUAACUAUGCACGUCUUGACGGUACCUAAUCAGAAAGCCACGGCUAACUACGUG